GUUUGAUCCUGGCUCAGAACGAACGCUGGCGGCAGGCCUAACGCAUGCAAGUCGAGCGAGGGGUAACCCUAGCGGCGGACGGGUGAGUAACGCGUGGGAACGUGCCCUUUGCUACGGAAUAGCCCUGGGAAACUGGGAGUAAUACCGUAUGAGCCCUUUGGGGGAAAGAUUUAUCGGCAAAGGAUCGGCCCGCGUUGGAUUAGGUAGUUGGUGGGGUAAUGGCCUACCAAGCCGACGAUCCAUAGCUGGUUUGAGAGGAUGAUCAGCCACACUGGGACUGAGACACGGCCCAUACUCCUACGGGAGGCAGCAGUGGGGAAUCUUAGACAAUGGGCGCAAGCCUGAUCUAGCCAUGCCGCGUGAGCGAUGAACGCCUUAGGGUUGUAAAGCUCUUUCAGGGGGGAAGAUAAUGACUGUACCCCCAGAAGAAGCCCCGGCUAACUCCGUGCCAGCAGCCGCGGUAAUACGGAGGGGGCUAGCGUUGCUCGGAAUUACUGGGCGUAAAGCGCACGUAGGCGGACUGGAAAGUCAGGGGUGAAAUC
This 542-nucleotide ribosomal RNA is filed under the name uncultured freshwater bacterium. Its description in RNAcentral is "bacterial SSU rRNA". It matches the Rfam family "Bacterial small subunit ribosomal RNA", at positions 11 to 601 of the family's 1533-position model. The record is from RNAcentral.